This 810-nucleotide ribosomal RNA is filed under the name uncultured bacterium. RNAcentral describes it as "bacterial SSU rRNA". It matches the Rfam family "Bacterial small subunit ribosomal RNA", at positions 8 to 796 of the family's 1533-position model. The record is from RNAcentral.
AGAGUUUGAUCAUGGCUCAGAACGAACGCUGGCGGCGUGGAUAAGACAUGCAAGUCGGACGAGAUUUCGUCCUGUAGCAAUACGGGAAGAAGUCUAGUGGCGAACGGGUGCUUAACACGUGGGCAAUCUGUCUUAAAGUGGGGGAUAGCUCGGCGAAAGCCGAAUUAAUACCGCAUGUGAUUAGAGUGGACAGCCAUUCAAAAUUAAAGUCGGGGCAACCUGACGCUUUUUGAGGAGCCCGCGGCCUAUCAGCUAGUUGGUGAGGUAACGGCUCACCAAGGCUUUGACGGGUAGCUGGUCUGAGAGGACGACCAGCCACACUGGGACUGAGACACGGCCCAGACACCUACGGGUGGCAGCAGUCGAGAAUUUUUCUCAAUGGGGGAAACCCUGAAGGAGCGACGCCGCGUGGAGGAUGAAGGUCUUCGGAUUGUAAACUCCUGUCAUUGGGGAACAAUGCGUGACGGUUAACUGCCGUCGCGUUGAUAGUACCCGAAGAGGAAGAGACGGCUAACUCUGUGCCAGCAGCCGCGGUAAUACAGAGGUCUCAAGCGUUGUUCGGAUUCAUUGGGCGUAAAGGGUGCGUAGGCGGCGCGGUAAGUCGGGUGUGAAAUCUCGGAGCUUAACUUCGAAACUGCAUUCGAUACUGCCGUGCUUGAGGACUGGAGAGGAGACUGGAAUUUACGGUGUAGCGGUGAAAUGCGUAGAUAUCGUAAGGAAGACCAGUGGCGAAGGCGGGUCUCUGGACAGUUCCUGACGCUGAGGCACGAAGGUCAGGGGAGCAAACGGGAUUAGAUACCCCAGUAGUCC